GUCUAUGGCUCUACCACCCUGAAUGUGCCCAAUCCUGGAAGCUAACCAGGGUUGGGCCUGGUUAGUACUUGGAUGGGAGAAAGAAACAAGUUGACCAGGCA
RNAcentral lists this ribosomal RNA (101 nucleotides) under Propithecus coquereli (Coquerel's sifaka). Lineage: Eukaryota; Metazoa; Chordata; Mammalia; Primates; Indriidae. The record is from RNAcentral.